GGCACCUCAGAAUCGGCUGACUUGGCCUGCUCUCCUUGAUCAUCCAUUUGUCAAAGAAUGCUCCGUUGAAGAAGAAGCCGUGGAGAUACAUGCUCCUAAUUCAGCAACGCGCAUUUGCUCUCCUACAGAGGAGUUCCCUGGCUUUGCAAGUCCCAACGACAUUGAAAAGAAAGGUUGUCAAGCACUCGACAAGCUAGUGAACAACUCCCGUACAGUCAAA
This is a long non-coding RNA of Rhodamnia argentea, 220 nucleotides long. RefSeq lists it as uncharacterized. The record is from RefSeq and is a predicted model, not a curated record. The transcript has 3 exons. NCBI's taxonomy places the organism in Eukaryota, Viridiplantae, Streptophyta, Magnoliopsida, Myrtales, Myrtaceae.